RNAcentral lists this ribosomal RNA (1453 nucleotides) under Escherichia coli. RNAcentral's name for it is "partial 23S ribosomal RNA". It matches the Rfam family "Bacterial large subunit ribosomal RNA", at positions 1 to 1489 of the family's 2925-position model. The record is from RNAcentral. Lineage: Bacteria; Pseudomonadati; Pseudomonadota; Gammaproteobacteria; Enterobacterales; Enterobacteriaceae.
GGGUUGUGAGGUUAAGCGACUAAGCGUACACGGUGGAUGCCCUGGCAGUCAGAGGCGAUGAAGGACGUGCUAAUCUGCGAUAAGCGUCGGUAAGGUGAUAUGAACCGUUAUAACCGGCGAUUUCCGAAUGGGGAAACCCAGUGUGUUUCGACACACUAUCAUUAACUGAAUCCAUAGGUUAAUGAGGCGAACCGGGGGAACUGAAACAUCUAAGUACCCCGAGGAAAAGAAAUCAACCGAGAUUCCCCCAGUAGCGGCGAGCGAACGGGGAGCAGCCCAGAGCCUGAAUCAGUGUGUGUGUUAGUGGAAGCGUCUGGAAAGGCGCGCGAUACAGGGUGACAGCCCCGUACACAAAAAUGCACAUGCUGUGAGCUCGAUGAGUAGGGCGGGACACGUGGUAUCCUGUCUGAAUAUGGGGGGACCAUCCUCCAAGGCUAAAUACUCCUGACUGACCGAUAGUGAACCAGUACCGUGAGGGAAAGGCGAAAAGAACCCCGGCGAGGGGAGUGAAAAAGAACCUGAAACCGUGUACGUACAAGCAGUGGGAGCACGCUUAGGCGUGUGACUGCGUACCUUUUGUAUAAUGGGUCAGCGACUUAUAUUCUGUAGCAAGGUUAACCGAAUAGGGGAGCCGAAGGGAAACCGAGUCUUAACUGGGCGUUAAGUUGCAGGGUAUAGACCCGAAACCCGGUGAUCUAGCCAUGGGCAGGUUGAAGGUUGGGUAACACUAACUGGAGGACCGAACCGACUAAUGUUGAAAAAUUAGCGGAUGACUUGUGGCUGGGGGUGAAAGGCCAAUCAAACCGGGAGAUAGCUGGUUCUCCCCGAAAGCUAUUUAGGUAGCGCCUCGUGAAUUCAUCUCCGGGGGUAGAGCACUGUUUCGGCAAGGGGGUCAUCCCGACUUACCAACCCGAUGCAAACUGCGAAUACCGGAGAAUGUUAUCACGGGAGACACACGGCGGGUGCUAACGUCCGUCGUGAAGAGGGAAACAACCCAGACCGCCAGCUAAGGUCCCAAAGUCAUGGUUAAGUGGGAAACGAUGUGGGAAGGCCCAGACAGCCAGGAUGUUGGCUUAGAAGCAGCCAUCAUUUAAAGAAAGCGUAAUAGCUCACUGGUCGAGUCGGCCUGCGCGGAAGAUGUAACGGGGCUAAACCAUGCACCGAAGCUGCGGCAGCGACGCUUAUGCGUUGUUGGGUAGGGGAGCGUUCUGUAAGCCUGUGAAGGUGUGCUGUGAGGCAUGCUGGAGGUAUCAGAAGUGCGAAUGCUGACAUAAGUAACGAUAAAGCGGGUGAAAAGCCCGCUCGCCGGAAGACCAAGGGUUCCUGUCCAACGUUAAUCGGGGCAGGGUGAGUCGACCCCUAAGGCGAGGCCGAAAGGCGUAGUCGAUGGGAAACAGGUUAAUAUUCCUGUACUUGGUGUUACUGCGAAGGGGGGACGGAGAAGGCUAUGUUG